This 166-nucleotide ribosomal RNA is filed under the name uncultured bacterium. RNAcentral's name for it is "partial 16S ribosomal RNA". It matches the Rfam family "Bacterial small subunit ribosomal RNA", at positions 1334 to 1500 of the family's 1533-position model. The record is from RNAcentral.
GCUAGUAAUGGCAGGUCAGCAUACUGCCGUGAAUACGUUCCCGGGCCUUGUACACACCGCCCGUCACACCAUGAGAGUUAGGAAUACCCGAAGCCUGUGAGCUAACUUUUAGAGGCAGCAGUCGAAGGUAGAACUAAUGAUUGGGGUGAAGUCGUAACAAGGUAAC